Molecule: non-coding RNA, 1762 nt
Organism: Lactuca sativa (garden lettuce)
Lineage: Eukaryota; Viridiplantae; Streptophyta; Magnoliopsida; Asterales; Asteraceae
Source: RefSeq, a predicted model, not a curated record
AAAAAUAGAAAUCAUCCACUUUCCCAACUUGGUAUUAUCUCUAGCUAAACCAACAAUUCACAAUUCCCUCGUAUCUCUCCAGUUAAUUCGCAUAAUUGGAAUUUUAAAAAUCGCCAUCUACAAAAACUGACAAAAGUUAAACCCGUCGUUUUCAAACCUAUGUUAUCACCUCUUCUAAAAACCCUUCCUCUUCUACACAGUUGCUCCUUCUCCGCCUACUUCCAUCUCCUUCUUGAACAUGGAAAACCACCCACCACCGAAGCAUAAAAUAUGCAUCGUCAAAAAGCAUCUAUCACCGCCCUCUCCAUCUCCACUCCGGUUUACCCCCAUCAAUUUUCAUCACUUUCACCUUAAAAUGGUAUCUGAAAAACAAAAACGCUUCCAAAAUUGCCCUAACCUAAUCAACGUCUUUUCUCUCUCAAUUCUUAAACCUCCGUUGCUUCACUUCUUCACAUCGGCUCUCCAGCCUUGCAUCUCCGGCGCCAUCCUCCUACACCUUCACAUUUUUAUCGCUACCCUCCUACACCUCUGGUACCACUUUCGCAUAACAGAGGUCGCUUCAGUUGUAGGAAAAUCCAGAUAUGUGGAAAUGGCUCACUGGAUAGAAGCAACCUCCUGACUCAAUCGAGAUGAGUCAUGCGAGUUAAACCUAAAAAACCUGAAUUCAUGUACUCUUUUUUUUCUUUUCUUAUGGAUGUUUAAUUUCAAGACUAGGCUGAUUUUGGAAAGUUUUUCUGGCAGAGACAAAAGGUUGAACACAAGCUGAUGGUCCUAGGAUGCAAGGAUUUAGAAAGAAGAAUUGUGGAAGCUAAGAUGAAAAUAACACUAGCAAAAAUUCAAGGUUUCCUCAUAAACAGCAUGGUUUCUCCUCCACACCAUUUGAAGAGCUUCAAAAAAUAGCAUUGCUUGAAACAAGCAAUGCCGAGUUACAGAAGCAGUUUCAAGAACUGAGAAAAAGGUUGCUUGUUUAGUCAAAUGUUAAAAGUUGACUUGAAGCUUGUUUAGUUUCUUGAUCACAACUAUUAUAAGGCCAUGGUCAAGAGAAUGAACGGAAUGUUCUGUUUCUUGUAGUGAUCUUAUUUUUACUUCUUGGUUAGGUUAAAUACAGUUUCAAUUCCAUGUUACCUUGAAUUAGGAGUUAUCUACAUUUUUAAGUCCAUAUCAUGCUCAAUUUGUUGCACAAAUUAUUCAAGGGAUAAGGAGUUUGGUUCAUAGUUUCACUAAUGUGCAUGUAUACAUUUUUCAGUCUAUCCACCACGACUACACAUUCAAUAAGAUCUGUAAGUUCAGUGUUUCACAGAUCUUUUUAUUUUUUAAUGUCAUUUUCACCAUGGAUCCUAAUGCAAUCUGAUGUGAGUAUUAAUGAAAAAAUCAUUAUAUAAACAUGUGUGUGUUUGUCUGGUGUCAUGUUAAAAGAUUCAUUAAAACAAUUUUUUUUAGUUUGAUGAUUUUAAACUUCAAGUUCAACAGUUGACUAAUAACCCGAAUAUUAUAGAUGAUUGACGUUUGAUAAUUAAUUUUAAGUUGUACUAACAAAUGUAUUUGGUCUAAUUAUCCUAAUAUUUAUAUAUAUAAUAUUAUUGAUGAUUUUAAGAUUUCAAGGUCCUUUUUGAAUUAUGACUACAAUCAUAUUAGCACUUGCUAUCUUGCAGAUAAGUAGGAAUUUUUAGAGCUUAAUGCAUUAGAAAACACAGGUAUCGAGACUGAUGAUUUAUUAUUUUCCAACUUGUAUGUAUAUAUAUUUUUUAAUCUUACCAUUCUU